Molecule: ribosomal RNA, 783 nt
Filed under: Murex pecten
Lineage: Eukaryota; Metazoa; Mollusca; Gastropoda; Neogastropoda; Muricidae
Description: partial 16S ribosomal RNA
Rfam family: Bacterial large subunit ribosomal RNA (bases 1-585)
Source: RNAcentral
GGCUCCUCGUGUAUUAUUAAAUAAGGAGUCGGACCUGCCCAGUGAAAUUUUUUAACGGCCGCGGUACUCUGACCGUGCAAAGGUAGCAUAAUCAUUUGCCUUAUAAUUGAAGGCUAGUAUGAAUGGUUUGACAAGAAUAUGGCUGUCUCUUUAUAAUUAAUUAGAAUUUUAUUUCCAGGUGAAGAAGCCUGGUUGUAAUUGAAAGACAAGAAGACCCUAUCGAGCUUAAAAAAAAUUAAUAAGUGCAAUUUUUAAUAUAAAAUUAAUAUUAUUUAUGAGAAAUUUUAAUUGGGGCGAUUGAGGAACAAAAAAAGCUUCCUUUAUAAUUAAAUCAAAACGUACAAGUGUUGAUCCAAAAAUUUUGAUUAAAGGAAUUAGUUACCGUAGGGAUAACAGCAUUAUCCUCUUUGAGAGCUCAUAUCGAAAAGGGGGUUUGUGACCUCGAUGUUGGACCAGAAUAUCCCAAAGAUGUAGCCGUCUUUAAAGGUUGGUCUGUUCGACCAUUAAAAUUCUACGUGAUCUGAGUUCAGACCGGCGUGAGCCAGGUCAGUUUCUAUCUUCAAUUCUAUAAAUAAACUUAGUACGAAAGGACCAGAUUAUUGCAAGUUAAUUGCUAAAAUAUUGAUAAACUAUAAUGAAUUUAUAAAUAUUUAAAUUUGUUUUAUCCCACAAAUCAAAUUAGCAAAGAUAAUGCAAUUGACUUAGGAUCAAUAGACAUAGGUGAAACUCCUUUAUUUGAUACUACUUUAUUUAAUCAAUUGGCAAUAAAGAUGGCAGAAUAAA